This 433-nucleotide ribosomal RNA is filed under the name uncultured bacterium. Its description in RNAcentral is "partial 16S ribosomal RNA". It matches the Rfam family "Bacterial small subunit ribosomal RNA", at positions 29 to 507 of the family's 1533-position model. The record is from RNAcentral.
AACGAACGCUGGCGGCAGGCCUAACACAUGCAAGUCGAGCGAGGACUUCGGUCCUAGCGGCGGACGGGUGAGUAACGCGUGGGAACGUGCCCUUUGCUUCGGAAUAGCCCUGGGAAACUGGGAGUAAUACCGGAUGAGCCCUUUUGGGGAAAGAUUUAUCGGCGAAGGAUCGGCCCGCGUUGGAUUAGGUAGUUGGUGGGGUAAUGGCCUACCAAGCCGACGAUCCAUAGCUGGUUUGAGAGGAUGAUCAGCCACACUGGGACUGAGACACGGCCCAGACUCCUACGGGAGGCAGCAGUGGGGAAUCUUAGACAAUGGGGGAAACCCUGAUAUAGCCAUGCCGCGUGAGCGAUGAAGGCCUGAGGGUUGUAAAGCUCUUUCAGCUGGGAAGAUAAUGACGGUACCAGCAGAAGAAGCCCCGGCUAACUCCGUG